This 75-nucleotide small RNA is filed under the name Frateuria aurantia DSM 6220. RNAcentral describes it as "isrK Hfq binding RNA". It matches the Rfam family "isrK Hfq binding RNA". Lineage: Bacteria; Pseudomonadati; Pseudomonadota; Gammaproteobacteria; Lysobacterales; Rhodanobacteraceae. The record is from Rfam by way of RNAcentral.
GUCCCGGCACAAUCCGGGGCCGGGUUUGGCGACCCGACUUACUCGAGGCGCAACGCGCCAACUCGGCGCUUUUUU